RNAcentral lists this ribosomal RNA (778 nucleotides) under uncultured bacterium. Its description in RNAcentral is "bacterial SSU rRNA". It matches the Rfam family "Bacterial small subunit ribosomal RNA", at positions 8 to 774 of the family's 1533-position model. The record is from RNAcentral.
AGAGUUUGAUCAUGGCUCAGGACAAACGCUGGCGGCGUGCCUAACACAUGCAAGUCGAGCGCGGAAGGAGCUUCGGCUCCUCGUAAAGCGGCGAACGGGUGAGUAACACGUGGGCAACCUGCCUCAAGGACUGGGAUAACUCCGGGAAACCGGGGCUAAUACCGGACGAUGUCGUCCCGCAUAAGCGGGUCGACCAAAGGUAGCUUCGGCCUCCGCCUUGAGAUGGGCCCGCGUCCUAUCAGCUUGUUGGUGAGGUAACGGCUCACCAAGGCUACGACGGGUAGCUGGUCUGAGAGGAUGAUCAGCCACACUGGGACUGAGAUACGGCCCAGACUCCUACGGGAGGCAGCAGUGGGGAAUCUUGCGCAAUGGGCGAAAGCCUGACGCAGCAACGCCGCGUGAGCGAAGAAGGCCUUCGGGUUGUAAAGCUCUGUCAGGGGGAAAGAAGGCACCUGGGUUAAUAGCCCAAGGGCUGACGGUACCUCCAAAGGAAGCCACGGCUAACUACGUGCCAGCAGCCGCGGUAAUACGUAGGUGGCGAGCGUUGUCCGGAAUCAUUGGGCGUAAAGAGCGCGUAGGUGGCUUGUCAGGUCCGACGUGAAAACCUGGGGCUCAACUCCAGGCCUGCAUCGGAAACCGGCUUGCUAGAGUCUGGGAGAGGAGAGUGGAAUUCCUGGUGUAGCGGUGAAAUGCGUAGAUAUCAGGAGGAACACCGGUAGCGAAGGCGGCUCUCUGGAACAGUACUGACGCUGAGGCGCGAAAGCUAGGGGAGCGAACA